GCUUGGUGUGGUGGCACAUACCUGUAAUCCCAGCAACUUGGGAGGCUGAGGCAGGAGGAUCACCAGUUCAAAGCCAGCCUCAGCAAAAGUGAGGCACUAAGUAACUCAGUGAGACCCUGUCUCAA
This 125-nucleotide small RNA is filed under the name Marmota monax (woodchuck). Lineage: Eukaryota; Metazoa; Chordata; Mammalia; Rodentia; Sciuridae. The record is from RNAcentral.